AACUCUAUCCCCACCGUUUGGUGGGAGACUUGUCGGUUGUGCCUCUCGGUACUCUGAUUAAAUGCAGUAGGUCUGGAUCAGGCUGGUGGCCUGGGACACUAUGUGCUAGAGACGUCGCGAAAGUUGACUGUCUUCUCAUGGUGCGUCCUGGGCUGUUUAAGCUGGUUUGGUCGAGCCUCUACAGUCCGUGCCUUGUGUACGGACAACCCCCCU
RNAcentral lists this unclassified non-coding RNA (213 nucleotides) under uncultured Rozellomycota. RNAcentral describes it as "uncultured Cryptomycota sequence contains ITS2". The record is from RNAcentral. Lineage: Eukaryota; Fungi; Rozellomycota.